CGGUCCAGACUCCUACGGGAGGCUGCAGUCGAGGAUCAUUUGCAAUGGGCGAAAGCCUGACAAUGCGACGCUGCGUGGAGGAUGAAGGCCUUCGGGUUGUAAACUCCUGUCAUGGGGGAACAGGCGAGGGGACCCAAUACGUCCCUUAGUUGAGUGUACCCCAAGAGGAAGGGACGGCUAACUCUGUGCCAGCAGCCGCGGUAA
Molecule: ribosomal RNA, 204 nt
Filed under: uncultured rumen bacterium
Lineage: Bacteria
Description: partial 16S ribosomal RNA
Rfam family: Bacterial small subunit ribosomal RNA
Source: RNAcentral